RNAcentral lists this ribosomal RNA (404 nucleotides) under Actinomycetes bacterium. RNAcentral's name for it is "Actinobacteria bacterium partial 16S ribosomal RNA". It matches the Rfam family "Bacterial small subunit ribosomal RNA", at positions 355 to 776 of the family's 1533-position model. The record is from RNAcentral. Lineage: Bacteria; Bacillati; Actinomycetota; Actinomycetes.
UGGGGAAUAUUGGACAAUGGGCGCAAGCCUGAUCCAGCCAUGCCGCGUGAGUGAUGAAGGCCCUAGGGUUGUAAAGCUCUUUCACCGGUGAAGAUAAUGACGGUAACCGGAGAAGAAGCCCCGGCUAACUUCGUGCCAGCAGCCGCGGUAAUACGAAGGGGGCUAGCGUUGUUCGGAUUUACUGGGCGUAAAGCGCACGUAGGCGGACUUUUAAGUCAGGGGUGAAAUCCCGGGGCUCAACCCCGGAACUGCCUUUGAUACUGGAAGUCUUGAGUAGGGUAGAGGUGAGUGGAAUUCCGAGUGUAGAGGUGAAAUUCGUAGAUAUUCGGAGGAACACCAGUGGCGAAGGCGGCUCACUGGACCAUUACUGACGCUGAGGUGCGAAAGCGUGGGGAGCAAACAGG